CCCAGAACAGAUCACAUACGGAUCCGCACUUCGGACGCGCCUUAGAUAACCGCCGUGUGGGAAUUAGUCGGGAUCUCCUUCGCGUGAAGUUCGGCUGCCAAAUUUCUUCUUUGGCCACGAUUGGUGGAGAGAGUGGAACAUCCUCUCUCGGAUGUUCACAGAAGAAGUGGCCAAGACCAUAAGCUCGAAGGGGGCAAAUGGCAAGAGGGCAUUCAGUCACAUGUCGUCGAAGACACUAAUGUACCGUGCUGUACGUGCAAAUAGUUUGUGUCGCACAGCCACAGACAUUCAACGUUAUGCCAUACGAUGGUUUAACUUGGCUGCAGACCGUGGUGCGGCAAGGAGGCGCCUGACCAACCGGUCUAACCAGGCUGAGGCAGAUGAUUAGGCUACUUAUGGUCAUGUUUUCUUUUGUUAAAUAAAAUUUUUAUUUGUUUCAAA
This is a long non-coding RNA of Carassius auratus (goldfish), 441 nucleotides long. RefSeq lists it as uncharacterized. Lineage: Eukaryota; Metazoa; Chordata; Actinopteri; Cypriniformes; Cyprinidae. The transcript has 3 exons. The record is from RefSeq and is a predicted model, not a curated record.